This 253-nucleotide ribosomal RNA is filed under the name uncultured bacterium. Its description in RNAcentral is "partial 16S ribosomal RNA". It matches the Rfam family "Bacterial small subunit ribosomal RNA", at positions 524 to 776 of the family's 1533-position model. The record is from RNAcentral.
UACGUAGGUGGCAAGCGUUAUCCGGAAUUAUUGGGCGUAAAGCGCGCGCAGGCGGUUCCUUAAGUCUGAUGUGAAAGCCCCCGGCUCAACCGGGGAGGGUCAUUGGAAACUGGGGAACUUGAGUACUGAAGAGGAAAGCGGAAUUCCACGUGUAGCGGUGAAAUGCGUAGAGAUGUGGAGGAACACCAGUGGCGAAGGCGGCUUUCUGGUCAGUAACUGACGCUGAGGCGCGAAAGCGUGGGGAGCAAACAGG